RNAcentral lists this unclassified non-coding RNA (336 nucleotides) under soil metagenome. RNAcentral describes it as "partial contains 5.8S ribosomal RNA, internal transcribed spacer 2, and large subunit ribosomal RNA". The stretch from base 1 to 120 matches the Rfam family "5.8S ribosomal RNA", at positions 35 to 154 of the family's 154-position model. The record is from RNAcentral.
GAUGAAGAACGUAGCGAAAUGCGAUAAGUAGUGUGAAUUGCAGAAUUCAGUGAAUCAUCGAAUCUUUGAACGCACAUUGCGCCCUUUGGUAUUCCUUAGGGCAUGCCUGUUCGAGCGUCAUCUAAACCUUCAAGCCCUGCUUGGUGUUGGGUGCCUGUCCCGCCUCCGCGCGUGGACUCACCUCAAAUCCAUUGGCGGCCCCCGCGUCGGCCACGAGCGCAGCAGAAACGCGAACUCGUGAGCCCGUCCGGGCGGCUCCCAGAAGCUAACCCCCAAUUUUUGACCUCGGAUCAGGUAGGGAUACCCGCUGAACUUAAGCAUACCAUAAGCGGAGGA